GAGGCUUUAGCUUAAUUAAAGUGUCUGGGUUGCAUCCAGGAGUUGUGGGAUAAACCCCUGCAAGCCUUA
This 69-nucleotide transfer RNA is filed under the name Ilisha sirishai (lobejaw ilisha). RNAcentral's name for it is "tRNA-Ala". It matches the Rfam family "tRNA". From Rfam's summary of the family: Transfer RNA (tRNA) molecules are approximately 80 nucleotides in length. Their secondary structure includes four short double-helical elements and three loops (D, anti-codon, and T loops). The record is from RNAcentral. Lineage: Eukaryota; Metazoa; Chordata; Actinopteri; Clupeiformes; Pristigasteridae.